GAUGAAGAACGCAGCGAAAUGCGAUAAGUAAUGUGAAUUGCAGAAUUCAGUGAAUCAUCGAAUCUUUGAACGCACAUUGCGCCCCUUGGUAUUCCGAGGGGCAUGCCUGUUCGAGCGUCAUUAUAACCCCUCAAGCUCAGCUUGGUGUUGGGGCCUGCUGCACUGGCAGCCCUUAAAAUCAGUGGCGGCGCCAUCUGGCUCUAAGCGUAGUAAUUCUUCUCGCCAUGGAGUCCUGGUGGAUGCUUGCCAUCAACCCCCAAUUUUUCUAUGGUUGACCUCGGAUCAGGUAGGGAUACCCGCUGAACUUAAGCAUAUCAAUAAGCGGAGGA
Molecule: unclassified non-coding RNA, 329 nt
Filed under: soil metagenome
Description: partial contains 5.8S ribosomal RNA, internal transcribed spacer 2, and large subunit ribosomal RNA
Rfam family: 5.8S ribosomal RNA (bases 1-120)
Source: RNAcentral